This 456-nucleotide ribosomal RNA is filed under the name uncultured bacterium. RNAcentral describes it as "bacterial SSU rRNA". It matches the Rfam family "Bacterial small subunit ribosomal RNA", at positions 17 to 518 of the family's 1533-position model. The record is from RNAcentral.
CACUGGCUCAGAACGAACGCUGGCGGCAUGCCUAACACAUGCAAGUCGAACGAGACCUUCGGGUCUAGUGGCGCACGGGUGCGUAACGCGUGGGAAUCUGCCCUUGGGUUCGGAAUAACAGAGAGAAAUUUCUGCUAAUACCGGAUGAUGACGUAAGUCCAAAGAUUUAUCGCCCAAGGAUGAGCCCGCGUAGGACUAGCUAGUUGGUGAGGUAAAGGCUCACCAAGGCGACGAUCCUUAGCUGGUCUGAGAGGAUGAUCAGCCACACUGGGACUGAGACACGGCCCAGACUCCUACGGGAGGCAGCAGUGGGGAAUAUUGGACAAUGGGCGAAAGCCUGAUCCAAGCAAUGCCGCGUGAGUGAUGAAGGCCUUAGGGUUGUAAAGCUCUUUUACCCGGGAUGAUAAUGACAGUACCGGGAGAAUAAGCUCCGGCUAACUCCGUGCCAGCAGCUGC